RNAcentral lists this ribosomal RNA (253 nucleotides) under uncultured bacterium. Its description in RNAcentral is "partial 16S ribosomal RNA". It matches the Rfam family "Bacterial small subunit ribosomal RNA", at positions 524 to 776 of the family's 1533-position model. RNAcentral also lists the same sequence under 2 other names. The record is from RNAcentral.
UACGUAGGGGGCAAGCGUUGUCCGGAUUUAUUGGGCGUAAAGAGCGUGUAGGCGGUCAGGUAGGUCGGUUGUGAAAACUGGAGGCUCAACCUUCAGAGGUCGACCGAAACCCCCUGGCUAGAGUCCGGGAGAGGAGAGUGGAAUUCCUGGUGUAGCGGUGAAAUGCGCAGAUAUCAGGAAGAACACCCGUGGCGAAAGCGGCUCUCUGGAACGGUACUGACGCUGAGACGCGAAAGCGUGGGGAGCGAACAGG